UGCAAGUCGAGCGAGCUGAAUUCAAAGAUCCCUUCGGGGUGAUUUGUUGGACGCUAGCGGCGGAUGGGUGAGUAACACGUGGGCAAUCUGCCCUAAAGACUGGGAUACCACUUGGAAACAGGUGCUAAUACCGGAUAACAACAUGAAUCGCAUGAUUCAAGUUUGAAAGGCGGCGCAAGCUGUCACUUUAGGAUGAGCCCGCGGCGCAUUAGCUAGUUGGUGGGGUAAAGGCCUACCAAGGCAAUGAUGCGUAGCCGAGUUGAGAGACUGAUCGGCCACAUUGGGACUGAGACACGGCCCAAACUCCUACGGGAGGCAGCAGUAGGGAAUCUUCCACAAUGGACGCAAGUCUGAUGGAGCAACGCCGCGUGAGUGAAGAAGGUUUUCGGAUCGUAAAGCUCUGUUGUUGGUGAAGAAGGAUAGAGGCAGUAACUGGUCUUUAUUUGACGGUAAUCAACCAGAAAGUCACGGCUAACUACGUGCCAGCAGCCGCGGUAAUACGUAGGUGGCAAGCGUUGUCCGGAUUUAUUGGGCGUAAAGCGAGCGCAGGCGGAAUGAUAAGUCUGAUGUGAAAGCCCACGGCUCAACCGUGGAACUGCAUCGGAAACUGUCAUUCUUGAGUGCAGAAGAGGAGAGUG
This 638-nucleotide ribosomal RNA is filed under the name Lactobacillus delbrueckii. Its description in RNAcentral is "bacterial SSU rRNA". It matches the Rfam family "Bacterial small subunit ribosomal RNA", at positions 56 to 663 of the family's 1533-position model. Lineage: Bacteria; Bacillati; Bacillota; Bacilli; Lactobacillales; Lactobacillaceae. The record is from RNAcentral.